This 301-nucleotide ribosomal RNA is filed under the name uncultured bacterium. RNAcentral's name for it is "partial 16S ribosomal RNA". It matches the Rfam family "Bacterial small subunit ribosomal RNA", at positions 509 to 807 of the family's 1533-position model. The record is from RNAcentral.
CAGUAGCCGCGGUAAUACAGAGUGUGCGAGCGUUAAUCGGAUUUACUGGGCGUAAAGCGUGCGUAGGCGGCUUCUUAAGUCGGAUGUGAAAUCCCUGAGCUUAACUUAGGAAUUGCAUUCGAUACUGGGAAGCUAGAGUAUGGGAGAGGAUGGUAGAAUUCCAGGUGUAGCGGUGAAAUGCGUAGAGAUCUGGAGGAAUACCGAUGGCGAAGGCAGCCAUCUGGCCUAAUACUGACGCUGAGGUACGAAAGCAUGGGGAGCAAACAGGAUUAGAUACCCCCGUAGUCCCUGUCUCUUAUAC